CUGGUGUCAGCCGCCGCGGUAAUACCAGCACCUCGAGUGGUCAGGACGUUUAUUGGGCCUAAAGCAUCCGUAGCCGGCUUUGCAAGUCUUCGGUUAAAUCCACCUGCUCAACAGAUGGGCCGCUGGAGAUACUACAAAGCUAGGGAGUGGGAGAGGCAGACGGUAUUCAGUGGGUAGGGGUAAAAUCCUCUGAUCCAUUGAGGACCACCAGUGGCGAAGGCGGUCUGCCAGAACACGUUCGACGGUGAGGGAUGAAAGCUGGGGGAGCAAACCGGAUUAGAUACCCGGGUAGUCCCAGCUGUAAACGAUGCAAACUCGGUGAUGCAUUGGCUUAUGGCCAAUGCAGUGCCGCAGGGAAGCCGUUAAGUUUGCCGCCUGGGAAGUACGGACGCAAGUCUGAAACUUAAAG
This 409-nucleotide ribosomal RNA is filed under the name uncultured Nitrososphaerota archaeon. Its description in RNAcentral is "bacterial SSU rRNA". It matches the Rfam family "Archaeal small subunit ribosomal RNA", at positions 452 to 861 of the family's 1478-position model. The record is from RNAcentral. Lineage: Archaea; Thermoproteati; Nitrososphaerota.